This 365-nucleotide ribosomal RNA is filed under the name uncultured eukaryote. Its description in RNAcentral is "partial 18S ribosomal RNA". It matches the Rfam family "Eukaryotic small subunit ribosomal RNA", at positions 592 to 976 of the family's 1831-position model. The record is from RNAcentral.
CAAUAGCGUAUAUUUAAGUUGUUGCAGUUAAAAAGCUCGUAGUCGGAUUUUGGCUGAGAACGAUCGGUCAGCCGUUAGGUGUGCACUGAUUGGUCUCAGCUUCCUGGUGAGGAGGUGUGCUUCACGGCCACUUAGUCACCGUGGUUACUUUGAAAAAAUUAGAGUGUUCAAAGCGGGCUUACGCUUGAAUAUAUUAGCAUGGAAUAACACCAUAGGACUCCUGUCCUAUUUCGUUGGUCUCGGGACGGGAGUAAUGAUUAAGAGGAACAGUUGGGGGCAUUCGUAUUUCAUUGUCAGAGGUGAAAUUCUUGGAUUUAUGAAAGACGAACUUCUGCGAAAGCAUUUGCCAAGGAUGUUUUCAUUGA